UUUUAAAUAAGUAAUAUCAAUAUAUGUAGGUUAAAAAACUAAUAUGAUGGUAGGAAAAAUAAUUAAGGAGAAAUCCGAUCCUAUCUGGAAACAGAGAAUAAUCACCAAUGCGAAGGGAAACAUCCGAGUAGCAUUGGCAAUUAACCAACAGGGAUUGUAGUAGUACCGGUGAGAGAAUCUACAUCUAGCAUUUAAGUAAUACCAUGAGGUAUGAAUAUAGCAGAUCUACUGCUAAUGCAUAAGAAUCAUAUUAAGUUAUAAGUACUGUGAAGGAAAUAACCAAGUAUAUUUAUAUUUAUAUAUAUAUGUUUUUAUACAUAUAAUAUAUAUUAAUAAUAUAUAAAGAAAUAUAUUGAUAAAGAGCAGUCAUAGUAUGGCGUACCUCUUGUAUAAUGGGUCAGUGAGUUGAUAUUACAGGUGAAAAGGAAUUUAUUAAAAAUAAAUGAGUAAAUCUGUAGUGUCAGACCCGAAACCACAUGAUCUAUACAUAUACAGAUAUAUAUAUUGUAAUGAUAUAAUAUGAUCGAAUAGGUGAAUGUAGCAAUAUUCUCUAAAGAUGUGUGUAUAGUAGUGAAAGACAAACCUGAUGUGGCGAUAGCUGGUUGUCUGCGAAAUAUAUGUUAGUAUAGUCCUUAUAAUGAUUACGCCUGGUAAAUCAAUUAUUACUAUGUGGGGAUGAAUAUUUUUAUGAGUCUACCACAUAUAAUGAACGUCUGAACAGGUCGUUAGAUAAUGAUCGUAUAAGGAAUCAGACAUAUUGCGAUAAGGUGGUAUGUCGAGAAGGGAAUAACCGAGACUAGUAAAUGAAGGUCCCCAAAUCACUCUCAGUGACAUCGAUCCUAUAUACCUGUAUUUAUACAGGGCUUAUAACAUCAAUUAGACAGUUAGUCAGUGGGUUUGAUAAUAAUCACCUGAUAAUGAACAUGUAACAAUGCACUAACAGAAAUUAGAUUGGAGAAUAGGAAUAGAUAUACGGGUCUAAGAGUGAUACCGAAUACUAGAUAAUAAUAUUUCAUAUUUAUAAAAUAAUAUAGAAAUAAUAUUUAUGGUAGCAGACCACACAAUAUAUAAUUGUGAAGAAUAUGCUGACUUGAGUAACGAAAGACAAUAUGAGAUUGUCCUCACAAUACAUAAGGUUUUACAAUAAAUGAACGGUAUCUAAUUAUAUAUAUGAAGAUAUAUAUAAGAUGAUAAAUUAUUACAUGAAAUAAUAGUAACCGUACUGUAGACCGACACAGGUAUGUAAUGAAGUGAGAAUGGGUUAAUUGUUGUUAAUGAACUCGGCAAAAAACUGGUUAUUGUCCAGAAUAGUAGUACGACUGUUUACCAAAAACACAGCUUGUUGCUAGCUGGUGACAGCAGGUAUAACAAGUGAUAUCUGUCCGGUGUCAGUAUGACUAGUAGUCUGCUGGUUAACGACGGUCUUAUCAUGAGGAUCUAAUAGUAGCAAAAUUCAUUGGCACAUAAUUGGUGUCCCGCAUGAAUGAUUACACGAUACUACAGCUGUAUCAACAACAUUCCCAGUGAAAUAGUAAUCGCAGUGAAGAUACUGUGUAGCCAUAGAUUGACAAAAAGACCCUAUGCAGCUUUACUAUACCUCCAUAUUGAUCAAAGGUUUUUAAUAUGCGUAUAUAUUUAUAUAGCCCAUAUUAAUUUCAUGAGAUCUCAUCUAUUAUUAGAGACAUUGUGGAGGGGUUAGUUUCGAUGGGGCGUCGACAUCACAUAACUAAACUGAUGUGUCUAUAUGAUCUUUAUAUAUCAAUAUUUUUAUAUCACUUAUUAUCAUAAGGGUACAAAUAAUAUUAACACCAUCUUCAGUAAAUUUAUAUAUAUAUUUAAUAUAUCAUAUAAAAGCUGUCGAUAAUACUAGAAUGACCAUGUACAGAAAAACUAGACGGUAACUAGUAAAUCUAAGGAAUGGAGUAUAUCUCUUCCAAAGGAACAUGUCCCGUCGGGAUAUAUAUGUUUUAUAGAUAAUGUUUACGGAUAAUAACAUAACUGUGCAAUAAUGAUGACACAUACGAGUGGAAUCAGUACAUACGUAGGGUAUAAUGAACAGGCAAGAUCAAUAGAAGUGAGUGUCGAUAACGGAUGAAAGUUACGCUAGGGAUAACAGGGUAAUAUUGCUAGAGAGUUGAUAUCGCCAGCAAUGUUUGCCACCUCGAUGUCGUCUAGACUUCACCUACCGGUAGCAGAGGCUGGUAAGGGUAUGACUGUUCGUCAUUUAAUAAGUCACUCGAGAUGGGUUAAUUACGACGUGAGUCAGUAAGGAUUUUAUCAUCUAUGGCAUAAGUAAUAAUAUAUAUUUGUACGUGUACGAAAGGAUUGUACAGACAAAUCCUAUGGUUGACUGUUAGGUUAAUUCCCUAUUGUAAGCUAAGAUUUGACAGGAUAUGUGCUGAAAGAAUAUCAAGCACCAAGCCUCAUAUAUUCAUUACUAUUCAUUAUAGAUAAUAAUGAAAUGAUCAUUCAUCAUGUAACAUGAGAAUAAAUCAAUUGAUCUAAUUUAUUUUGUUUAAAAUA
This 2523-nucleotide ribosomal RNA is filed under the name Lodderomyces elongisporus NRRL YB-4239. Its description in RNAcentral is "Bacterial large subunit ribosomal RNA". It matches the Rfam family "Bacterial large subunit ribosomal RNA". Lineage: Eukaryota; Fungi; Ascomycota; Pichiomycetes; Serinales; Debaryomycetaceae. The record is from Rfam by way of RNAcentral.